Molecule: ribosomal RNA, 965 nt
Filed under: bacterium
Lineage: Bacteria
Description: bacterial SSU rRNA
Rfam family: Bacterial small subunit ribosomal RNA
Source: RNAcentral
GUCGAGCGAUGAUUGAAGAUAGCUUGCUAUUUUUCAUGAAGAGCGGCGAACGGGUGAGUAACGCGUGGGAAAUCUGCCGAGUAGCGGGGGACAACGUUUGGAAACGAACGCUAAUACCGCAUAACAAUGAGAAUCGCAUGAUUCUUAUUUGAAAGAAGCAAUUGCUUCACUACUUGAUGAUCCCGCGUUGUAUUAGCUAGUUGGUAGUGUAAAGGACUACCAAGGCGAUGAUACAUAGCCGACCUGAGAGGGUGAUCGGCCACACUGGGACUGAGACACGGCCCAGACUCCUACGGGAGGCAGCAGUAGGGAAUCUUCGGCAAUGGGGGCAACCCUGACCGAGCAACGCCGCGUGAGUGAAGAAGGUUUUCGGAUCGUAAAACUCUGUUGUUAGAGAAGAACGUUAAGUAGAGUGGAAAAUUACUUAAGUGACGGUAUCUAACCAGAAAGGGACGGCUAACUACGUGCCAGCAGCCGCGGUAAUACGUACGUCCCAAGCGUUGUCCGGAUUUAUUGGGCGUAAAGCGAGCGCAGGUGGUUUCUUAAGUCUGAUGUAAAAGGCAGUGGCUCAACCAUUGUGUGCAUUGGAAACUGGGAGACUUGAGUGCAGGAGAGGAGAGUGGAAUUCCAUGUGUAGCGGUGAAAUGCGUAGAAUAUGGAGGAACACCGGAAGCGAAGCGGCUCUCUGGCCUGUAACUGACACUGAAGCUCGAAAGCGUGGGGAGCAUACAGGAUUAGAUACCCUGGUAGUCCACGCCGUAAACGAUGAAUGCUAGCUGUAUGGAGCUAUGAAUUCUCUGUAGCGCAGCUACGCAUUAGCACUCGCCCUGGGGAGUACGACCGCAAGGUGAACUCUAAGGAUUGACGGGGCCGCCCAACGGUGGAGCAUGUGGUUUAUUCUAGCACGCGAGAACUUACCAGUCUGGCUACUCUGCAUCCUAAAAAAAAGAGUCCUCCGGACCGGA